CGACGGCAGCACGGGUGCUUGCACCUGGUGGCGAGUGGCGAACGGGUGAGUAAUGCGUCGGAACGUACCGAGUAAUGGGGGAUAACGCAGCGAAAGUUACGCUAAUACCGCAUAUUCUGUGAGCAGGAAAGCAGGGGAUCGCAAGACCUUGCGCUGAUUGAGCGGCCGAUAUCAGAUUAGCUAGUUGGUGAGGUAAAGGCUCACCAAGGCGACGAUCUGUAGCGGGUCUGAGAGGAUGAUCCGCCACACUGGAACUGAGACACGGUCCAGACUCCUACGGGAGGCAGCAGUGGGGAAUUUUGGACAAUGGGCGCAAGCCUGAUCCAGCCAUGCCGCGUGAGUGAAGAAGGCCUUCGGGUUGUAAAGCUCUUUCAGCCGGGAAGAAAACGCAUGGGUUAAUACCCUGUGUGGAUGACGGUACCGGAAUAAGAAGCACCGGCUAACUACGUGCCAGCAGCCGCGGUAAUACGUAGGGUGCGAGCGUUAAUCGGAAUUACUGGGCGUAAAGCGUGCGCAGGCGGAUUGUUAAGCAAGACGUGAAAUCCCCGGGCUUAACCUGGGAAUGGCGUUUUGAACUGGCAGUCUAGAGUGCGUCAGAGGGGGGUGGAAUUCCACGUGUAGCAGUGAAAUGCGUAGAGAUGUGGAGGAACACCGAUGGCGAAGGCAGCCCCCUGGGAUGACACUGACGCUCAUGUA
Molecule: ribosomal RNA, 696 nt
Filed under: uncultured bacterium
Lineage: Bacteria
Description: bacterial SSU rRNA
Rfam family: Bacterial small subunit ribosomal RNA
Source: RNAcentral